GGAGGGGUGGCCGAGUGGUUUAAGGCGGCGGUUUGCUAAACCGCUGUAGGGUCGAAAGGCUCUACCUGGGGUUCAAAUCCCCACCCCUCCGCCA
Molecule: transfer RNA, 94 nt
Filed under: Candidatus Omnitrophota bacterium
Lineage: Bacteria; Pseudomonadati; Candidatus Omnitrophota
Also listed under: 1 other name
Description: Candidatus Omnitrophica bacterium tRNA-Ser
Rfam family: tRNA
About the family: Transfer RNA (tRNA) molecules are approximately 80 nucleotides in length. Their secondary structure includes four short double-helical elements and three loops (D, anti-codon, and T loops).
Source: RNAcentral